UAGUACUAGUAGCAUUGAUUAACGUCACUUCCUCUCUGUCAAAUCAGGAUGUACCGAUGUACAAUAGUUUGACCGCGGAAAGGAUGUUAAUUCACAUACUGAACAAUCCGAAAAGGACAGAAAAGCUAAAUGCAUCAGUUCAUGCUAUCGAAAUCAGCUAAAGUAUCAGUGCUGUUACAAAAGAAUACAGCGAGAACAAUGAUAGUUCAACUAUACUGAAAAAGAUCCCUAACUAUACUGAAAAAGAUCCCUAACUAUACUG
Phragmites australis (common reed) is the source of this 262-nucleotide long non-coding RNA. RefSeq lists it as uncharacterized. The record is from RefSeq and is a predicted model, not a curated record. The transcript has 2 exons. NCBI's taxonomy places the organism in Eukaryota, Viridiplantae, Streptophyta, Magnoliopsida, Poales, Poaceae.